RNAcentral lists this ribosomal RNA (1361 nucleotides) under uncultured bacterium. Its description in RNAcentral is "bacterial SSU rRNA". It matches the Rfam family "Bacterial small subunit ribosomal RNA", at positions 28 to 1381 of the family's 1533-position model. The record is from RNAcentral.
AUUGAACGCUUGCGGCAGGCCUAACACAUGCAAGUCGAGCGGUAGCACAGAGAGCUUGCUCUCGGGUGACGAGCGGCGGACGGGUGAGUAAUGUCUGGGAAACUGCCUGAUGGAGGGGGAUAACUACUGGAAACGGUAGCUAAUACCGCAUAACGUCGCAAGACCAAAGUGGGGGACCUUCGGGCCUCAUGCCAUCAGAUGUGCCCAGAUGGGAUUAGCUAGUAGGUGGGGUAACGGCUCACCUAGGCGACGAUCCCUAGCUGGUCUGAGAGGAUGACCAGCCACACUGGAACUGAGACACGGUCCAGACUCCUACGGGAGGCAGCAGUGGGGAAUAUUGCACAAUGGGCGCAAGCCUGAUGCAGCCAUGCCGCGUGUGUGAAGAAGGCCUUCGGGUUGUAAAGCACUUUCAGCGGGGAGGAAGGCGUUAAGGUUAAUAACCUUGGCGAUUGACGUUACCCGCAGAAGAAGCACCGGCUAACUCCGUGCCAGCAGCCGCGGUAAUACGGAGGGUGCAAGCGUUAAUCGGAAUUACUGGGCGUAAAGCGCACGCAGGCGGUCUGUCAAGUCGGAUGUGAAAUCCCCGGGCUCAACCUGGGAACUGCAUUCGAAACUGGCAGGCUAGAGUCUUGUAGAGGGGGGUAGAAUUCCAGGUGUAGCGGUGAAAUGCGUAGAGAUCUGGAGGAAUACCGGUGGCGAAGGCGGCCCCCUGGACAAAGACUGACGCUCAGGUGCGAAAGCGUGGGGAGCAAACAGGAUUAGAUACCCUGGUAGUCCACGCCGUAAACGAUGUCGAUUUGGAGGUUGUGCCCUUGAGGCGUGGCUUCCGGAGCUAACGCGUUAAAUCGACCGCCUGGGGAGUACGGCCGCAAGGUUAAAACUCAAAUGAAUUGACGGGGGCCCGCACAAGCGGUGGAGCAUGUGGUUUAAUUCGAUGCAACGCGAAGAACCUUACCUGGUCUUGACAUCCACAGAACUUUCCAGAGAUGGAUUGGUGCCUUCGGGAACUGUGAGACAGGUGCUGCAUGGCUGUCGUCAGCUCGUGUUGUGAAAUGUUGGGUUAAGUCCCGCAACGAGCGCAACCCUUAUCCUUUGUUGCCAGCGGUUAGGCCGGGAACUCAAAGGAGACUGCCAGUGAUAAACUGGAGGAAGGUGGGGAUGACGUCAAGUCAUCAUGGCCCUUACGACCAGGGCUACACACGUGCUACAAUGGCAUAUACAAAGAGAAGCGACCUCGCGAGAGCAAGCGGACCUCAUAAAGUAUGUCGUAGUCCGGAUUGGAGUCUGCAACUCGACUCCAUGAAGUCGGAAUCGCUAGUAAUCGUAGAUCAGAAUGCUACGGUGAAUACGUUCCCGGGCCU